Long non-coding RNA from Triticum aestivum (bread wheat), 1542 nucleotides. RefSeq lists it as uncharacterized. NCBI's taxonomy places the organism in Eukaryota, Viridiplantae, Streptophyta, Magnoliopsida, Poales, Poaceae. The transcript is spliced from 3 exons. The record is from RefSeq and is a predicted model, not a curated record.
CUUUCCUUCCAAAGCAUGCAAAAAAAAUCUUUCCUUUCUAUAGGUCCCCCGCAUCUCACAUCUCACGACUCACCUUGAUCUAUUCUCUAGGUCAACAAAGGAAAACUAGAAUCACAAUCUCAGAAGCCCAACCCUCCUCAGCGGUGAGCGUCCUCUCUCCCGAUAUGAUGGGAGUUCUUCAUCGUCUAUUGCUCCCCGGCGGCGAUCUCAGAAACCUUGCCCAUGGCAUGACGCCUUCUACCAGCACUCUUCUAUGCCUACACACAAACAUCCUCAGGACAGGAAAGGAUAACCAAUUGACUGAAGACGAACGACCGUCGGGUUAGAUCUUACAAUCUGCCAUGCCAAGUUGCCACGUCCAGAUUUACUAAUGUUUCUUCUUGCAUCACAUGGAGAUGGAAUUGUCAAGAGCAAACAGACUGUUCUGACUGUGUUGGCCUUGAAUUCGAUGAACAAGAGUCAGUUCUUUGGUGACACGCCCAACUGUAGGUGGUUGCAAGAUAUAUCAUAAGGCAUCGACUGGAUGUUCAUGGUGUCGGUUAUCUCAAGAUCAUGUGAUACAGAGCCCACAAAGGAGUAGCUAGCAGAAUGGCCGGUGCAAAAUUGAGCAGAUUUUUCGUUGGGCAUCAGACUUCCAAAAUUUCCUUCAAUUAUUAUAACAUGAUUAACUACAUCAGGUUAGAGAAGAUUCCUUUUGAAAAUCGAUCAACCACCUGACUCGAAGGGUUGUGCACCACAGAUCAUGGGUGGUGCAGAGUCCUACCACCAACUUCUCCGCUGCUUCUAUCAAAAAAAAACUUCUCCGCUGCUUCUCAUCUCAUGUGAAAGGCAUAUGCCAGUACACAUCAAUGUGUCCCAGUGAAGGUACCAAAAACAUACAUGUGAAUCUUCUUUCAAUCUAAUCUGUACGUUUCUGAAUGAUUGUCUAUUCUGCUUCUAAUUAUGAUGUAAAAAACAGUGUGCAAAGUGUGCGUGCACUGGGGACAUAGUAUCAUAAUGUAACAAAUAAACAGGAAUACUUCUACUUCAUCCUGCAACAGUGGUAGUAUACUCGGCACUGAUGUGUACGUUUGCAUGUAUGUCGAGUUUAAUAUACGUCUGAUCUAUGUAUCAUGACAAGAUGUGGUCAGCUUGGAGAUCGUCGUAACUUCUGAUGGAAUAGAUACAUGUUAUACUAGCUCCUUUUAUAUACUUUUGAUGUUAAGUAUUAGUUCAUAGAAUUUCUCUCAUCCUCUGUUAAAUAGAAGUCAUGCAUUUGUGUAGAAUUUAUAAUGGUUAGGUGCAAGAGUAAGGUGUGAAUGCAAUUUUUGUAGCCCAGCAUGUAAAUAUGUUCUAUAGUUAUAUCUGAAUCGCUUUUUUAUCCAUCGGGUAUAGUUUCUAUGGUUUUCAUUCAUAGUUAUACCUGAAUCGUUUGUUUUUAUUCAUCGGGUUAGUCGGGUUUUCAUACUUUUAUUUUAUUUGAUCUCAUGAUGAUCUAAUAUGGAAAAUCAUAAUACCCUGACAUGUGAAAUGCAAGAAGGCACAAAAAAAUCAUUUUAUGUA